UACGGAGGGUGCAAGCGUUAUCCGGAUUCACUGGGUUUAAAGGGUGCGUAGGUGGGCAGGUAAGUCAGUGGUGAAAUCUCCGGGCUUAACUCGGAAACUGCCAUUGAUACUAUCUGUCUUGAAUACCGUGGAGGUCAGCGGAAUAUGUCAUGUAGCGGUGAAAUGCUUUGAUAUGACAUAGAACACCAAUUGCGAAGGCAGCUGGCUACACGAAUAUUGACACUGAUGCACGAAAGCGUGGGGAUCAAACAGG
RNAcentral lists this ribosomal RNA (253 nucleotides) under uncultured bacterium. Its description in RNAcentral is "partial 16S ribosomal RNA". It matches the Rfam family "Bacterial small subunit ribosomal RNA", at positions 524 to 776 of the family's 1533-position model. The record is from RNAcentral.